AACGAACGCUGGCGGCAGGCUUAACACAUGCAAGUCGAACGGGCGUAGCAAUACGUCAGUGGCGGACGGGUGAGUAACACGUGGGAAUAUGCCUUUCGGUUCGGAACAACUCGGGGAAACCCGUGCUAAUUCCGGAUACGCCCUUACGGGGAAGAUUUAUCGCCGAAAGAUUAGCCCGCGUUGGAUUAGCUAGUUGGUGAGGUAAAGGCUCACCAAGGCGACGAUCCAUAGCUGGUUUGAGAGAACGACCAGCCACACUGGGACUGAGACACGGCCCAGACUCCUACGGGAGGCAGCAGUGGGGAAUCUUGGACAAUGGGCGCAAGCCUGAUCCAGCCAUG
This 341-nucleotide ribosomal RNA is filed under the name uncultured bacterium. RNAcentral describes it as "bacterial SSU rRNA". It matches the Rfam family "Bacterial small subunit ribosomal RNA", at positions 29 to 396 of the family's 1533-position model. The record is from RNAcentral.